RNAcentral lists this ribosomal RNA (779 nucleotides) under uncultured Oscillospiraceae bacterium. RNAcentral's name for it is "bacterial SSU rRNA". It matches the Rfam family "Bacterial small subunit ribosomal RNA", at positions 604 to 1399 of the family's 1533-position model. Lineage: Bacteria; Bacillati; Bacillota; Clostridia; Eubacteriales; Oscillospiraceae. The record is from RNAcentral.
UGGGCUCAACCCAGAAACUGCUUUGAAACUGUCGCCCUUGAGUAUCGGAGAGGUAGGCGGAUUCCUUGUGUAGCGGUGAAAUGCGUAGAUAUAAGGAAGAACACCAGUGGCGAAGGCGGCUGCUGGACGACAACUGACGCUGAGGCGCGAAAGCGUGGGGAGCAAACAGGAUUAGAUACCUGGUAGUCCACGCUGUAAACGAUGAAUACUAGGUGUGGGGGGACUGACCCCUUCCGUGCCCAGUUAACACAAUAAGUAUUCCACCUGGGGAGUACGAUCGCAAGAUUGAAACUCAAAGGAUUGACGGGGGCCCGCACAAGCAGUGGAUUAUGUGGUUUAAUUCGACGCAACGCGAAGAACUUACCAGGAUUUGACAUCCCACUAACGAAGUAGAGAUACAUUAGGUGCCCUUCGGGGAAAUGGAGACAGGUGGUGCAUGGUUGUCGUCAGCUCGUGUCGUGAGAUGUUGGGUUAAGUCCCCAACGAGCGCAACCCCUAUUGUUAGUUGCUACGCAAGAGCACUCUAGCGAGACUGCCGUUACAAAACGGAGGAAGGCGGGGACGACGUCAAAUCAUCAUGCCCCUUACGUCCUGGGCUACCACGUAAUACAAUGGUGGUAAACAAAGGGAAGCAAAGCCGCGAGGCAGAGCAAAUCCCCAAAGCCAUCUCAGUUCGGACUGCAGUCUGCAACUCGACUGCACGAAGUCGGAAUUGCUAGUAUCGCGGAUCAGCAUGCCGCGGUGAAUACGUUCCCGGGCCUUGCACACACCGCCCGUAA